This 292-nucleotide ribosomal RNA is filed under the name uncultured prokaryote. RNAcentral describes it as "partial 16S ribosomal RNA". It matches the Rfam family "Archaeal small subunit ribosomal RNA", at positions 455 to 747 of the family's 1478-position model. The record is from RNAcentral.
GUGCCAGCCGCCGCGGUAAUACCUGCAGCACGAGUGGUGGCCGCUAUUAUUGGGCCUAAAACGUCCGUAGCCGGUUUUGUAAAUGCCUGGGUAAAUCGGACCGCUUAACGGUUCGACUUCCGGGUAGACUGCAAGACUUGAGACCGGGAGAGGUUAGAGGUACUCCUAGGGUAGAGGUGAAAUUCUGUAAUCCUAGGGGGACCACCGGUGGCGAAGGCGUCUAACCAGAACGGCUCUGACGGUGAGGGACUAAGCCCUGGGGCGCAAACCGGAUUAGAUACCCGGGUAGUCC